CCAAUAGCGUGUAUUAAAGUUGUUGCAGUUAAAAAGCUCGUAGUUGAAUUUCGGGAUCAAUAUGUCGGUCGUGCUUCGGUACGUACUUGCAUUAUUGGUUUCCCCCUUCUGAAGAACCAUGAUGUCAUUAAUUUGGUGUCUUGGGGAAUCAGGACUGUUACUUUGAAAAAAUUAGAGUGUUUAAAGCAGGCUCACGCUUGAAUACAUUAGCAUGGAAUAAUGAAAUAGGACGUUUGAUUCUAUUUUGUUGGUUUCUAGGAUCGACGUAAUGAUUAAUAGGGAUAGUUGGGGGCAUUAGUAUUCAAUUGUCAGAGGUGAAAUUCUUGGAUUUAUUGAAGACUAACUACUGCGAAAGCAUUUGCCAAGGAUGUUUUCAUUAAUCAAGAACGAAAGUUAGGGGAUCGAAGACGAUCAGAUACCGUCGUAGUCUUAACCAUAAACUAUGCCGACUAGGGAUCGGAUGAUGUUAAUUUUUAAUGACUCAUUCGGCGCCUUACG
This 498-nucleotide ribosomal RNA is filed under the name uncultured Glomeromycotina. Its description in RNAcentral is "partial small subunit ribosomal RNA". It matches the Rfam family "Eukaryotic small subunit ribosomal RNA", at positions 591 to 1092 of the family's 1831-position model. Lineage: Eukaryota; Fungi; Glomeromycota. The record is from RNAcentral.